Molecule: long non-coding RNA, 638 nt
Organism: Xyrauchen texanus (razorback sucker)
Lineage: Eukaryota; Metazoa; Chordata; Actinopteri; Cypriniformes; Catostomidae
Exons: 3
Source: RefSeq, a predicted model, not a curated record
GCUGUGGGGGAGAAACAGAUCAAUAUUUAAGCCAUUUUCUACUAUAAAUCUACACUUUCACUUUCACAUAUGACUCCAGUGGUUUAAUCCAUGUCUUCAGAAGUGAUAUGAUAGUUGUGGGUGAGAAACAGAUCAAUAUUUAAGGCAUUUUCUACUAUAAAUCUACACUUUCACUUUCACAUAUGACUCCAGUGGUUUAAUCCAUGUCUUCAGAAGUGAUAUGAUAGUUGUGGGUGAGAAACAGAUCAAUAUUUAAGGCAUUUUCUACUAUAAAUCUACACUUUCACUUUCACAUAUGACUCCAGUGGUUUAAUCCAUGUCUUCAGAAGUGAUAUGAUAGUUGUGGGUGAGAAACAGAUCAAUAUUUAAGGCAUUUUCUACUAUAAAUCUACACUUUCACUUUCACAUAUGACUCCAGUGGUUUAAUCCAUGUCUUCAGAAGUGAUAUGAUAGGUGUGGGUGAGAAACAGAUCAAUAUUUAAGCCAUUUUCUACUAUAAAUCUACACUUUCACUUUCACAUAUGACUCCAGUGGUUUAAUCCAUGUCUUCAGAAGUGAUAUGAUAGGUGUGGGGGAGAAACAGAUCAAUAUUUAAGCCAUUUUCUACUAUAAAUCUACACUUUCACUUUCAUAUAUGA